Peromyscus eremicus (cactus mouse) is the source of this 755-nucleotide long non-coding RNA. RefSeq lists it as uncharacterized. The transcript is spliced from 3 exons. NCBI's taxonomy places the organism in Eukaryota, Metazoa, Chordata, Mammalia, Rodentia, Cricetidae. The record is from RefSeq and is a predicted model, not a curated record.
CUUGUGAGAGUCCCAGAAGGAGAAGAAGCUGGCAGAUGCUCCUGAGGACACUAACAGCAAGGAUGUUUAUUGAGAGGGCUGGCUGCCUGGGAUGAGGCUGAGGCUGAGUGAUCACGUAGCCAGCCCAAAGAUGGCUGUGUCUACUGAACAGCUACAGACUGCAGCUUUUCCUCAUCAUUCAUUAAGCAGCACAAUAUGACAAGUAAUGAUGCAGCGUUUAUGUCACGUGACAUCAACGCACUGUAGAGAUGAUCUGAAGUUUGUAGGCAGAACUAUGGCAAACAAGAGCUGGGUCUGGAGGUCAGUGGUAGAGCCCAGAGCACCUGCUUCGUAUGUCUGAGGCUCUAGGUUGGAUUCCAACAACUCUAAGAAAAAGUGGGGGGACUACUGCCAAAAGGGAGGGAAAUUGUUGGGGGGCUGAAGAGAUGACUUUGUGGAUAAGAGUACUUCCUCUGCAAAUCUGAGAACUUGAGUUUGAAUUCUCAACACCCAUGUUAAAAACAAAACAAACAAACAAAAAAACAACUAGGCAUUCCUGUGACUCUAGCAUUGAGGGGCAGAGACAGUAGAUACGAAGAACUUGCUGGCCAGCCAUUCUAGUCAAAAUUCUGAGCUUCCAGAUCAAUGUCUCAAGGCAGUAAGACUUGUUUGCUGCAUCAGCCUGCAGAGUGGCACCUCCUUUCCACAUCUGAAAACAGGUAUGAAGUUCCUACCGUGAACGAGCACUUUCUAGGUCUGUAGAUACCGUAGGGAAU